Molecule: ribosomal RNA, 497 nt
Filed under: uncultured bacterium
Lineage: Bacteria
Description: partial 16S ribosomal RNA
Rfam family: Bacterial small subunit ribosomal RNA
Source: RNAcentral
GAUGAACGCUGGCGGCGUGCCUAAUACAUGCAAGUCGAGCGAACAGACGAGGAGCUUGCUCCUCUGACGUUAGCGGCGGACGGGUGAGUAACACGUGGAUAACCUACCUAUAAGACUGGGAUAACUUCGGGAAACCGGAGCUAAUACCGGAUAAUAUAUUGAACCGCAUGGUUCAAUAGUGAAAGACGCUUUUGCUGUCACAUAUAGACGGAUCCGCGCCGCAUUAGCUAGUUGGUAAGGUAACGGCUUACCAAGGCGACGAUGCGUAGCCGACCUGAGAGGGUGAUCGGCCACACUGGAACUGAGACACGGUCCAGACUCCUACGGGAGGCAGCAGUAGGGAAUCUUCCGCAAUGGGCGAAAGCCUGACGGAGCAACGCCGCGUGAGUGAUGAAGGUCUUCGGAUCGUAAAACUCUGUUAUUAGGGAAGAACAAAUGUGUAAGUAACUAUGCACGUCCUGACGGUACCUAAUCAGAAAGCCACGGCUAACUACGUG